This 2340-nucleotide long non-coding RNA is filed under the name Brassica napus (rape). Its description in RNAcentral is "long non-coding RNA (BNAP_LNC022497)". The record is from RNAcentral. Lineage: Eukaryota; Viridiplantae; Streptophyta; Magnoliopsida; Brassicales; Brassicaceae.
GGAAAAUGGAGAAAAGUUCGAAACAAAAGAUGUCGGAGCUGUUAACAAAGCUCGGUGAUCGAGACACGUUCACAAUGGCGGCGAAAGAGCUAGACGUGAUGGCUAGAAACAUUGAUCCCACCUCCGGGAAUCUCCAGUCGUUCAUCUCCGUCGUCCUCUCCACCGACGCCGGAGAUAAACCGGCGGUUCGCAAGCAUUGCAUCCAUCUCCUCGCGGUUCUAUCCGUCUCUCUCCCUCCGAACUCUCUCUCUCCUCACCUCUCCAAGAUCCUAUCUCGCGUCACGCGCCGCCUCCGCGAUCCGGACUCAUCCGUCCGGUCGGCCUGCGUCGCGGCGGUGUCGGCGAUCGCGUCCCGGACGACGAAGCCUCCUUUCGGUUCCGCGUUCGUGAAGCCGCUGUCGGAGGCGCUUUUCACGGAGCAGGAGGUGAACGCGCAGAUCGGAGCGGGGCUUUGUCUCGCGGCGGCGAUCGACGCGGCGGAGGAUCCGGAUCCGGUUCGGUUAGGAACAACACUUUUGCCUAGGCUUGAGAAGCUGGUGAAGUGCUAUGAUGCACCGGGACGGAUACGGGUACAGAAGCGGGGACGGGAGCGGGGACGGAAAACGGCAAAACUAAAAAAUUAUGGAUACGGGUACGGCAUAGAUACGUUUAUAAAAAUAAUAUAUAUAUAUACAUAAAAUUUUAGUUUGGAUUGAUAUAUGGACUGAUAAUCGCAUAAACUUCACCAGAUGUAUAACAGAAAUAGAGUAUUCAAAAGUAAUAGUUCCAAUCCAAAGUCAUCAUUAUGGUUUCAUUUCUGAAUUCUUACCUUCGGCAAUAAAUUCGAUGUAGAGAAUCAUUUAAUGCUUUCAAUUUCAACAAUAUAUAUUCUUAAUCAAAAGUGAUGAAAGAAAAAGUAACGGCACGUGCUAAAAAGCUCAUGUUGUUAAGUCCUAACUUACGGAUACGUCCCCACGCCGUUUGAGCCAACUCGCGAUCAAAUAUAAAAAAAAUAAUUUAUAAAAAUAAUUAAAAAAUAAAAUAUUUUUCAUAAUAUAAUUUAAAAUUAAUCCAAAACACUAAUAUUACAUAAGAAAAAUAGAAGUCAUAUAUAUAUAUAUAAUAUAAAAGCGAGCAAACUCAUGAGUUAGCUUAUGAUCAUUAAAGAUCGCUCAUAUAACUCGUGAUCUAAUUUAAGCUCGAUCAUCAAGCUCAUUUAUUAAAUAAGCCUGAAAUACAGAGAUCGUGCUCGUGAAAAUUUAAGUUUAGCUGAUUCAGCUCAUGAGCUAUAACUCAUUUUCACACCCUAGAUUAUGUUAUAGUCCGUUUUCAUAGUUAGGUUAACCAACUUCUCAUCAUAUAAUAUCAGAUUUCAAAUCAAACACAUUUCUGUCUAUCGAAAUGAUAUUAUGAUGUUAGCAAUAUAUCACUUAAUACUUCAAGAUACAUAGUCAGCUGAUUCCCUAAUUAGUUUUGAGUAUCUUACUUUUGUAAAAAUGCGUUGUAUAGAUUAGAUUAAUUUUACAAUAAUUACUGUAACUAAGAUAACCAUAUUACACAUGAAUCAAGUAGACCAACGGGAAACACUAUACUUCUAAACACUAAACCUUCAAUAAAUGUCACUUUCGUCAGACAAUAUCAAUUCCAUUAAAUACGUCAUUUAGGAAAACAAGGCGGAUCAUUCUUAAACACACAUCAUCGUGUCCCCCUAGCGUGAUUAUUUAGACACCUGAAGAAACGGCACCGUUUCAGGUCAUCUUCAUCAUCACCUCUCAAAAAAAAAACGGUAUAAAGACAGAACACAGAGACGCACGUAAACAAACUGUAAUAAAAAAAAGUUAACUGAUCACCGAGUCAAAGCUUUACGUCCCGGCCGAACACCAUCUAGUUCUUAAAACUACAUCUUAAUUUACACUAAAUGCCACUGUCUCCGCCGCAUCACUGAUCCUCAACCUUCGCCGGAAAAUACUAAAAACGGUCGGAAAAUGGAGAAAAGUUCGAAACAAAAGAUGUCGGAGCUGUUAACAAAGCUCGGUGAUCGAGACACGUUCACAAUGGCGGCGAAAGAGCUAGACGUGAUGGCUAGAAACAUUGAUCCCACCUCCGGGAAUCUCCAGUCGUUCAUCUCCGUCGUCCUCUCCACCGACGCCGGAGAUAAACCGGCGGUUCGCAAGCAUUGCAUCCACCUCCUCGCGGUUCUAUCCGUCUCUCUCCCUCCGAACUCUCUCUCUCCUCACCUCUCCAAGAUCCUAUCUCGCGUCACGCGCCGCCUCCGCGAUCCGGACUCAUCCGUCCGCUCGGCCUGCGUCGCGGCGGUGUCGGCGAUCGCGUCCCGGACGACGAAGCCUCCUUUCGCUUCGG